GGCAUUCUUCAUCAUUAACAAUCAUAAACACGCAUCGUGUCGUGGAGAAGGCCUUCCCCAACGAACACGGGCAUCGCACCGUGAGAGGGGGCCUCCCUCAGCGGUCACGGCAUCGUACUAUUGAGGGAGGCCUCCCCCAAUAGACGCUGUAACACUGGCAUACUGGCAUCGCGCCGCGAGAGAGGCCUCUCUCAGCGGACACGGGCAUCGCGCCGUGAGGAAGGCCCUCCUCAGCGGACACGGCAUCGUACUGUUGAGGGAGGCCUCCCCCAACAGACGCAAGCAUCAAACAUAAGCAUAAAUUUAUCAGCGUAAAGCAUUCAAGCGUAAAUAAGCAUAAUCAAGCGUAAAUUACAUAGGGCGUAAAUAGUAUAAACAGCAUAGCGUAAAUCAUUUAACGUGCAGCAUAAUAAAGCUUAACUCAUUUAAGCGUAAUAAAGCAUACCACACUUGAAGAUCCAAUUUGCAUUUUAAAGCAUAACACUUGCAUAGCAUUUUAU
RNAcentral lists this long non-coding RNA (500 nucleotides) under Salvia miltiorrhiza (redroot sage). Its description in RNAcentral is "long non-coding RNA (SMIL_LNC000838)". The record is from RNAcentral. Lineage: Eukaryota; Viridiplantae; Streptophyta; Magnoliopsida; Lamiales; Lamiaceae.